RNAcentral lists this ribosomal RNA (512 nucleotides) under Nocardioides ganghwensis. RNAcentral's name for it is "bacterial SSU rRNA". It matches the Rfam family "Bacterial small subunit ribosomal RNA", at positions 394 to 916 of the family's 1533-position model. The record is from RNAcentral. Lineage: Bacteria; Bacillati; Actinomycetota; Actinomycetes; Propionibacteriales; Nocardioidaceae.
ACGCCGCGUGAGGGAUGACGGCCUUCGGGUUGUAAACCACUUUCGGUGGGGACGAAGCGCAAGUGACGGUACCCACUAAAGAAGCACCGGCCAACUACGUGCCAGCAGCCGCGGUAAUACGUAGGGUGCGAGCGUUGUCCGGAAUUAUUGGGCGUAAAGGGCUCGUAGGCGGUUUGUCGCGUCGGGAGUGAAAACGCCGUGCUUAACACGGCGCUUGCUUUCGAUACGGGCAGACUAGAGGUAUUCAGGGGAGAACGGAAUUCCUGGUGUAGCGGUGAAAUGCGCAGAUAUCAGGAGGAACACCGGUGGCGAAGGCGGUUCUCUGGGAAUGACCUGACGCUGAGGAGCGAAAGUGUGGGGAGCGAACAGGAUUAGAUACCCUGGUAGUCCACACCGUAAACGUUGGGCGCUAGGUGUGGGGUCCAUUCCACGGAUUCCGUGCCGCAGCUAACGCAUUAAGCGCCCCGCCUGGGGAGUACGGCCGCAAGGCUAAAACUCAAAGGAAUUGACGG